RNAcentral lists this transfer RNA (71 nucleotides) under Perkinsus marinus ATCC 50983. It matches the Rfam family "tRNA". Rfam says of the family: Transfer RNA (tRNA) molecules are approximately 80 nucleotides in length. Their secondary structure includes four short double-helical elements and three loops (D, anti-codon, and T loops). Further hydrogen bonds mediate the characteristic L-shaped molecular structure. tRNAs have two regions of fundamental functional importance: the anti-codon, which is responsible for specific mRNA codon recognition, and the 3' end, to which the tRNAs corresponding amino acid is attached (by aminoacyl-tRNA synthetases). tRNAs cope with the degeneracy of the genetic code in two manners: having more than one tRNA (with a specific anti-codon) for a particular amino acid; and 'wobble' base-pairing, i.e. permitting non-standard base-pairing at the 3rd anti-codon position. Lineage: Eukaryota; Perkinsozoa; Perkinsida; Perkinsidae. The record is from Rfam by way of RNAcentral.
GUCACUUUAGCUUAGUGGCAGGGCGUCUGCUUUGUAAGCUUAAGGUCGUCAGUUCAUCCUGACAAGUGGCU